CACUUUUUUUCCAUGCAGCCCGUCUAGGUGGUCCGUGUCCUCCCACCUCCCACCUGGUCCCACUACCGGUUGCAUGAAGAGCAUGAUUAGAUUGCUGUCAGACUCUAGCACAGUCCCCAUCCAACCAUCGAUCGAACCAUCCACUCAUCCAUCCAUCCAACCAGUAAGAUAAAACUACAUUUACAAUCCCGCAAACAUUUGUAGUAACGCAAAUAUCAAUUCUACCAUCUUCUUUUCAUGAAGACAUUCUAAAAGAGUUAAAUCAAUAUUUCGGUCUUCGCUGCUUUUGAAAACCCAAUUUGCCUUUAAGUUCUAGACACACUAAAUGGACAAACAAUGUAAGUAAUUCUCAGCUUCUCGAGUGUUCUCUCUGUAGUACAUGUGUGGGUCUAGUGGAAAGACGAGCCCGGCAUUGAGCGGUGGGUUUUCUUGUCUGCACAUGUCUCUCCUCCUCUGUAGUGUCACUCAGGGUUUUGUAGCUUAGACCGCCGCCUUGCUCUCUCAUCCCUGCUACCACUGUGUCGGGUGACAUCAUCCAUUUGAGAAGGGGCUGCUACAUCAUGAGGCACAAAGCCGCUGUCGAGCGGCGGCCCCAUAAAGAAACAUGCCACACCGUUCAACCGCUCACUUCAAACAAGUCAGGAUUACUCUCUUGUGGUCCUUCUCUGCCUGUGGCUGCGUGCGGGAUAAAGGCCAGAUUAAGGGGAUUAGCGCGUAUCCUC
Long non-coding RNA from Gasterosteus aculeatus aculeatus (three-spined stickleback), 722 nucleotides. The record is from Ensembl. Lineage: Eukaryota; Metazoa; Chordata; Actinopteri; Perciformes; Gasterosteidae.